UCCAUUGUCCAAUUUGAAUAGAGAGAGACUUCCGGUGAAAUUCCUCGUUAAUCCUCACCUGUGUCGGUUUGGUCUUUGCCCUCCAUUUUGCUCAAUCGGUGUAACUCUGUUGCAAAAAAUUGCCUCUCGAUUAAUUGUUUUCAAUGCUAGCGGUGAUUUCUAAUCUAAGCCGAGGUCGUGAGAAUCAGACGUUCUCGGGCACGAAAUCAUUUGUCUGCUCGAAUUAAAGAUUGAUGGUCCUCACCUAUCCUGCAGUGAGAAGCACCUCAAAGAUUUCUCACGGCAAGGCAGACCCACUACGAUCGUGGUUCUGCAAGGCCUCUGCGGGUCAUAUGAAUAUUCAGCCCACCCGCACCCUUCAAUGAGAACGUAUUCUGUACGGACUAUUUUGAAUGUUUCUUUGUGAUCCUACCAGAUCCCAUCAUCUUCACUUCCUUCAGCCGAAAGUCCAUGGCUCUUCCUCUUCUUUUUCCCAUCAUGUAGCAGCUGAAAUGGAUGAUAGCAGUUGAAGCAAGGGAUGGCAGUGGAAAUUCAAGUAAUAAGCAAAGAGCAGCAGCCUGCACAAUACACACAAACAGCAACCAUGUGUAGCUUUUCUUUGAAUAUCUGCUGCUGUCCAGAAUUUAUGUUGUGAGUUUCACCUUCCUUUUCUCACAUCUUUCUUCUAUAUCUUGUGUAUUUGAGUGGAUA
Juglans regia (Persian walnut) is the source of this 690-nucleotide long non-coding RNA. RefSeq lists it as uncharacterized. The transcript has 4 exons. Lineage: Eukaryota; Viridiplantae; Streptophyta; Magnoliopsida; Fagales; Juglandaceae. The record is from RefSeq and is a predicted model, not a curated record.